RNAcentral lists this ribosomal RNA (328 nucleotides) under uncultured eukaryote. RNAcentral describes it as "partial 18S ribosomal RNA". It matches the Rfam family "Eukaryotic small subunit ribosomal RNA", at positions 1470 to 1796 of the family's 1831-position model. The record is from RNAcentral.
CCCUUAGAUGUUCUGGGCUGCACGCGCGCUACACUGAUGCAUUCAACGAGCUUUCGAUCUUGCCCGAGAGGGUUGGAUAAUCUUUUUAAAGUGCAUCGUGAUGGGGAUAGAUUAUUGCAAUUAUUAAUCUUCAACGAGGAAUUCCUAGUAAGCGCGAGUCAUCAGCUUGCGUCGAUUACGUCCCUGCCCUUUGUACACACCGCCCGUCGCUCCUACCGAUUGGGUGUGCUGGUGAAAUGUUCGGAUCGGCCGUUUGUCGCGGUUUCCGCGUCAUGUGGCUGAGAAGUUCAUUAAACCCUCCCACCUAGAGGAAGGAGAAGUCGUAACA